Macrobrachium nipponense is the source of this 1122-nucleotide long non-coding RNA. RefSeq lists it as uncharacterized. The transcript is spliced from 5 exons. Lineage: Eukaryota; Metazoa; Arthropoda; Malacostraca; Decapoda; Palaemonidae. The record is from RefSeq and is a predicted model, not a curated record.
UUUGUCAAUCCUUCAGUACAGGCUGCAGGACUUCCCGAGGUACACGUGUCUGAAGAAGUCCUUCAGACUUAUCUAGGAAUGUUAAACUGACGUCUCUAAAAGCCGUUUUCUUCGGUUGUAGGCAUUCUUUUUUAAUCAGGGGGCUACCCUGACACCACAACUCAAAGGAAACUACAAUAAAUGCGUAGUAGAGCGCCUCGGACAGUGUAGCAAGAAUGCAAGAACAAUUGCGGUCUUUCCGGCCUCGUCGAGUCUCGAUAGCGGUUAAGAUGCAGGAAUGGAGCGACUUGACUGACAGACUCUGGAAUCACCUGCCACUUCAUCUCAGAAGAUUCAUCGUGUCGAUGAUCGUCUUCAUCAUGGGAUCCACUGUCAGAGGAGAAUGGUUCUUGUUCUGGAUAUACUACCGAAAGGCUUUCGACGAUCAUCCAACGACCGAGGACGCUUCUGUACCAAAUGACACUCUCGUCUCUCCUUCGGAUUCUGAGAGCCUCUUCAGCCUUGACGAUAUCUACCUUCAAGGUCUCGGUAUCUACUGGCUAUGGGCAACCACGGUCUCCUUCGCUAUCUACCUUCUCUCCGGGGCAUUCUUGCAUUGGCACUUCUACAUACGCCAGCGAGACAGAGCCUCAGAGUGGAAGUGUCAACCGACGAAAUUUCCCUCCAGCGAAACGAUCCGCGAGGAAAUCCUGCUGGGGUCCUCUUCGCUUCUGCUGGCCUCGAGCAUCACGGGCGUCGUCGCUUGUCACGUCAUGAACGGGGGAAAAUGCACCAUCUAUUAUAGAGUAGAAGACUACGGCUGGUUCUGGCUCCUCCUUUCGGUGCCCCUUGUUUUCGUUUGGCAGGAUUACCUGACCUACUGGGCGCACAGAGUCUACCACCACCCGUUCCUCUACCGCCACUUCCACAAGAUCCAUCACAAGUUCAAGCAGCCGACUGCUUUCAGCGCCGUUGCCUUCCACCCAGUUGAGCUGUGCACCUUGCAGGCCAUCCUCUUCAGCCCCAUGUUCCUCUACCCCGUCCACUGGACGAUAUUCGCCGGGAGUCUGGCCUACAAUUACUACCACGGCAUCGUUGACCAUUCGGGCGUCACUUUCGAGGCCCAGUGGUGGCAGCCUUGGC